Molecule: long non-coding RNA, 6161 nt
Filed under: Setaria italica (foxtail millet)
Lineage: Eukaryota; Viridiplantae; Streptophyta; Magnoliopsida; Poales; Poaceae
Description: long non-coding RNA (SITA_LNC003357)
Source: RNAcentral
CAAAUUAAAAAAGAGUAGGGAGAUGGAUGAAUAGCCAGCAAAGCAGCUAGAAGAGAUGACGAUCGAGGUAAUAAGGUGUAACCGACCGGCGGUCAUGGCGGCCCCGACUUGGAUGAAGACGAAGAGGAAGGUGAGGACGAGCUCGCCGAGGACGCCGCGGAAGAAGUCCGGCUCCGACGCCUCGCCGCGGUGGCCCAGCGCAACCUUCCCCAUCCUCGCUUAUCCCUCCGGAAAUAAGGCUAACCGAUAGAUCGAUGGAUGGAUCACCACAAGCUAGCUAAGCUAAGGUGAUGGAACAGUAGCAUUAUUAUAUUGUGACAGAAAUUAAAGCUAGUGUUGCAUAUGUAUAUAUAUAGGAAAGAGGAAGAUAUAUAAGUAUAUAUAUUAUUUCGCAAGUCAAAAAGUUUCUUGCAUUAUUGGCAAAUGAAUUACUUUACUUUGGCCGGGCGGCCAGAGGAAUUGUACGGCGGCAACAUGUGGUGCAACAGUACUGCUCUAGCUCUGUCGUCAUGUCGCCGUACGUUCAUGGCGGUUGAUCGAUCCAUGGAUGGAUGGACUCACACUUCAACUGAUUUGCUUGGAAGGCACCAACGACCCAACCUACGAUGCACAUGAUCCAACAACCAUGCAUCUUCACUUUUUUUGUUGCGGUCUACAGGAAGCACCACUUUCGGGCCUCGCUACUCUAUGCCGGCCUCCGCACUACCCCGACACUAUAGUGCUGCACUGUACUCCUUCCUUUCUUUCUGUAUAUUGUGUGCAGGUACACGCUACACACACACAUAUGCUGUCGUUCAUCGUGCAUGUAAUUAUUCUGCCCUCUGUGCUUUUAUCACUUUGUCUCCUUGUCAGUUCAGUAACUUUUAAUAAGUAACAAAUUAGCAUAAUACGUUUGAGGAAUGGAUCAUUUCAGCUCCUCUAAAUUCAUAAUUUUUACUACGCAUCUAAACAUACUACUAUCAGAAGGAGUUAUUAGCAAGGCUUUCGACUUUGCACGUCCAAAUCAGAUCCACUCCUAAGUCCGUCCCACGAUAUGAUAAACAUAAUCAAAUACUACAAGCAAAUAACAACCUUAUCUGUCGCAUGGAAUGGAAGUCGCCCUCUCUAAAAAUAUCAGCCUACACGACAGAACCGAACACUUGGACCUGAAAGCUUACCGGCUGCCUUGGUCGCCGUACGUGUCGAUCUCCCACACGAUCCAUCUCGCCGUCGCCGAUAGAGCAAGUAUACACGCCAUCUCCGCCUCGUCACCACUCAACACAGAAUUGAUGCACGCACAUCAACUAUUCAGCUUUUCCGGUUUCUUAUGUUCCUAUAUUUCCAAAGGCGGAGCUUGACCAAAAGUUCAUUGAAAGCAUUGACCAUCGGUAAAUAGUACCAAUAUUACUGUUCGAAGUUUAGGCCCGUUUGGUAGAGCUACAGCUCCUGCUAAAAUGGCUUAGGCUCCGGCUCCUUUGGUGGAGUGACUUUUCUAGUAUAGUUGAAAUCGUUUUGCAAAACAUUUGGUAAAAAGGCUUCUCAAUGACAAUAUGGGUAAUUUUACGAUCACUUAAUAUUUGGAGAGAGAGAGAGGAAAAGCUAGUGAAGCUACUAUUUUGUGGCUUUUCCUUGACUUCGAUAGUGGAGCUGUUUUGAAAUUGCCCAUUUGGCAGGACUUCACCAAAAACUGGUGGAGAAGCACUUUAAUAAGAAACCCUACCUACCAAAGGGGCCUUACACUGGGUAACUUAAAGGCAGAUACUUUAGUAUUUUUAUUUAACUUAUUUUUUAAGAAGGCACAUAUAGGUAAUUAAAAGAAUGCAUUGCUGGUACUUUGGGUUCAUUUUUUAUAAAAACAUGCGUGUAACUAAAAAUCUUAUAUUGAGGGAUAUUUUAGUUUAUUUCCUUCAUAAUAGCAAAACGGAAUAAACUAAACUAUUAGUAAGAAUUCUGCUUUUUUUUCAAAAAAAUCCUAACCUUAUUUUUCAUUUUCAAGAGAGUAUAAUUUGAGAAGCAAUGUGGCGGCUCUAGGAAGAACAUACUAUUGUUAGAAAAGAAUACGCAAUUAGUAAAAGUAAGAUAUAUAACGUCUAAGAAAGCUACAACAAGUUGUCAAUGAGGUGGAUUAACAAGACUUGAUGAAGUCGAGCCGGGAUUAUUAUAUUGCAGAACACCCAAAUCAACCUCUCGUGACAUGUAUUCUUAAUCCUCGGCAAAAAAAAAAUAUACACGCUAAAUUUUUUUGGCGUGUAUAUUCUUAAUCCUCGGCAAAAAAAAAUAUACACGCUAAAUAUACGUUACAUGAGAUCCGCCUUAUUUUUCAUUUUCAAGAGAGUACAAUUUGAGAAGCAAUGUGGCGGCUCUAUGAAGAACAUACUAAUGUUAGAAAAGAAUAUGCAAUUAGUAAAAGUAAGAUAUAUAAUGUCUAAGAUAUAUAAUGUGGAUUAACAAGACUUGAUGAAGUCGAGCCGGGAUUAUUAUAUUGCAGAACACCCAAAUCAAACCUCUCGUGACAUGUAUUCUUAAUCCUCGGCAAAAAAAAUAAUAUACACGCUAAAUAUGCGUUACAUGAGAUCCCACAAGCAAAUACGACCUCGAUGCCGAUCGACAGAACUGAUGCUGGUUGAACCGACGACGAUGAUGCAGUGCAAGUUGAUCUCCGUGUCGGGUCGUUUGGUGAAGUCAGUGCAAAUAUCCGUGGGUUUGACAGAAAUUCAGCUGGAUUUAGUUUGGCUUUGCCCAUCUCGCUCGCACGGCCUUUCGUGACUUCGCUGUCCAUUUUUUUUCUGACAAUAUAUUAAUAGGUGGACUUUAAAAUAAGAUGGAACCCGAUGGCUCAACUGCAAAUUAAAGCUUUGGCUUUGAUUUUUAGCAAGCAACAUAUGUCUUUGGUGCUUACUACGACAUAUCACCACAAUCUUUAUUUGUUAGCAACGAACAGAUAUACUCCCUCCAUUCUAAAUUGUAAGUCAUUUAAUUUUCUUGAAAAAUCAAAUUAUUUUAUGUUUAAUCAAAAUUAUAGAGAGGAUCAAAAAAUGUAUGGCACCGAAUAGAUAUACCAUGAAAAUAUAUUUAAUGAAGAAACUAAUGGUACUAAUUGGUAUUAUGAAUGUUAGUAUUUUAUCGUAUAAAUUUGGUCAAACUUGAGAUGUUUUGACUUUCCAAGAAACUUGGAAUAACUUACAAUUUGAAACGGAGGGAAUAGUAUUUAGUGUGUGCCCCUUUUCCCCCGAGAGAGAAGAAGGGACGCAGACAGCUCCGUCAACCGACUGCAUUUGAGCAACUGGAUCAAAGCUGAAGUGAACAUAUGCUCAAAUGCAUGCAGUGGGCUUCAAUUAAUAAUUAUUCAAUGAAAUCGCCGCUUCAUUCUCUCUAAAAGAACCCUGUGUUUUUAGAGAAUUGCGGGUGGCACGAUGCGUGCAGCAGCUAUUGCAAUGCUCAAGAUCAACUAGGAGCAGCCUCACUUGAAAAAAAGAACUAGGAGCAGCCGUGUGUGUUGCACAACACGACAUCUAGAGCGCGAUACAAGCUGUGUGGCUGACCCACCCAUAGCUGGAAGCCUGUUGCCUACUGAUGGACGACCUGGACAUCCAAGCAGGGAUUCAGAGAUUCAGAGAUAGUACUGUGUAUUGAAAUGAAACUUAUCAUUGGGAUUGGCCUUAGGUCUCCGGACUUCAGCAUAUAAGCGGGAGACCAAAAUAAGUUUAAUGACACAUUUGUUUCUGUUUAUCUUUUUCUAAUGAAAUAUUCAAGGUGUGGGUGUGUCUUAGACACAUGCUGGAUCCAAUUUGUCAAUGAUAAUUAUUAUCCACCAAAUUUUUAAUUAGUUAGACCUUUUGAUUGUUUGAGAAUUCCUUAUUUUAUUUUCUAGCGCAUGCAUUGUCAUCUAAUAAGAAUUAAUGUUGAAGUUUCAAAGACAAUCUCCAACUAUUAUUAGUACUAGCAAGCCCGUGCGUUGCUACGGGCACCACAAUAUACCAAAUCUCAAAACCGCAGCGAAAUACAUAAACAUCAGUUUUACUUAAAGGUGUCAAAGAAUCGUAAAUAAAAACACUAAGACACAUGAUGCAGUAAAGGUAAAUGCUCGUGCAUUACAGGGGAAGUAAAACAAUAGCGAGAAAAUAUAAUUGAUGCUAUUUACCUAAUGCAACGUGACAAUUUGACUACUUGAAUCACAAAUAUCUUAAACUAAUAGUAGACUAUAAGAUAAGAUGAAGUAUUCUGCGUAUUGAACAUUGAGCUUCUUACAAAUAUUGCUCAUCUAAUCUCUCAAACAGAUAUAUGAGCGCGUGGUGGCCCAGACCUAAUGGUGAGGAGUGGGGCGCCGCCAUGAUUAAGGCCGCCGAUGGAAGCAGCAGUUGGCAGUGCGCGGAGAUGCCCCUCACAUGGAACCAUUUAAUCACAAUAUAUACAAGCGACAAUUAACUAAUUUCUCGGUCUUGAUGAUACAGCAUAGUAAUUGACACAGUGCAUUGGAAGUACGUUUUAGGAACUUACAUUACACCCAAUCUGACGUGGCACUAUACGAUAGAACAGCAUGAUACAAUGCAUAGCAUGAAAGUACGUAGUCUCAAACCAAACCGAAGAAACAAACCCAAGCUCGCGCAGACGACCUCGGGAAGCAGAUCGAAAGGCGGAUCGGAGCAAGCCCAAACCAAAUCAAAGUUCCUCCAAUGCACGCGUGGCGUUCAUCACGCCUCCUCGGGAAGCAGCUGAUGUGCACCGGCGGGCGCCAUGAAGAGGCACUCGUACACCACCACGGCGAGGGGCCCGCCGGCCAGCGGCCCCACCCAGUACACCCAGUGGUGGGUCCACACGCCCGUGGCCAACGCCGGGCCGAACGACCGCGCCGGGUUCAUGGACGCGCCGGACAGGACGGCGCCGGCGAUGGAGUUGGCGCCGACGAGGAGCCCGGUGAGCAGCGGGCCGACGCCAGGGAGAAUCUUCCGAGGGUCCAGGAUGGUCGCGUAGAUCACGAACAGCAGGCUGAACGUGAAGACGACCUCGGCGACCACGCCCUGAAUGGGCCCCACGCCUGCCGCCAGAGCGUGCACCGGAGUGGCCUGCAUAUAUAGAUCGAUUUGUAUGUACAAUUAUAUACCGGAUAGAUUAACGACGACGACCAUGACUGCUGGCGGCGGCGGCGCCAACGUACCACCAGGCCUCCGGUGAGCCACCGGAGCAGGACGCAGGCCGUGGAGGAGCCGAGCAUCUGGGCGACGAUGUACAGGGCCGACCGGAACAGGGUGAUCUGGCCACCGACGGCCAUCGACAGCGUGACGGCCGGGUUCACGUGGCCGCCGGAGAUGUGGAAGCCCGCCGUCGCGAUCACGCACACCGCCAGCGCCUGCCCCAGCGCCACCGCCGUUAGGUUGCCUCCGGCGUUGGUCUUUCCUGCAGACGCGUAAAUGGCAUGUUGCUUACGUAGCAAUUAAUUGACAUCCUUGAAAACAUAAUAAUAAAUAUGAAAUGCUCUUUAAAAAUAGCCUUAAGAAUUAAGAUCGUGAUGCAUUCGCCUAAGUUAUGAAAGAGGAUGCAUGUGGUGACACCACUAAUUUCACCAUUAAUUUGGUAGCAACGGGUUAGCAGCUGUAGUUUAUUUUUAUCCCACGUCUCAUUGUUUUCAAAUCAAGAUUAAUUCAUUUAAAUGAGUUGUGUGGUCGACCCAAUGAUCCAACAAAUUAAAAAUGUAAUAAGUAUUAUAUAUUGCUCAUACUAAUUACUAAUAAUUGUAAAUUAGUAGCUUCGCUGUGCCGCUGUUAAUACUAUACGUCUGCGCACUGUCAAUACUACGCCUUCCAUUCUGUUAAUAAUUGUCCAUUGAGGAUAUAAAGAGUGUGGUUAUUUUAGUAGCUUUUCACUCACUACCUCUAAACAAAUAAUUUGAAAAGAAAUAGAAGUGGCUGUGUCAUAUUAUUUAAUAGGUUUAUGGAUGAUCAUUUCGCAUGGACUUGAAACUCUCUCGAGCUGCCUAUGUAGCUGCAUACCGUCGAUUGUCAUGGCGGCGCCGACUUGGAUGAAGACGAAGAGGAAGGUGAGGACGAGCUCGCCGAGGACGCCGCGGAAGAAGUCCGGCUCCGACGCCUCGCCGCGGCGACCAAGUGCCAGCUUUCCCAUUGGCAAAUUAAAGGCACACACAAGAGAUAGCAGCUGGUCAGCAGGGGGCGUUGGAGAAUAAGCUA